UUGCUCCACACACCACACGUCAGGAGGAAGACAUCUCAUCGCUAUAACGUUACAAUGCAAAAUAACUUUAGCAGUUUGAUCAUCGGCAUGGUCUGUUCGGAUCAAAUGUCUUUUGGAGGACACCUGUGUGAGCCAGAUGGAGGCUGAUGACUCUGUGGCAGUCUGCCAGUCAUUACUUUGCUGUUGCAACACUACAAUCUGCCACGGCAGUGUAAUUUCUUGAGAAAAUGGGUCCGAGAGAGGAGCUCCAACAAGAGGACAGCUGCCGCAUGCAUCGAGUCGCGUGUGAAAUGUACUUGAGGUGUUUUCUUUGUAGAGACGCAUGCUUGGGUCUCACUGUUUGGCUGAUCGAGCCUGUAGCUCGGUCGUGAGCUGCAUCUUUGACAGCCUGGGCUCUCUGCUGUGAGACGUCCUGGGUUUUUAAUAUUUCAGAUGCAAUAUUAAAUGUCCCUGCGCUUUCUGCUCGCCGCUUUCCCAUGGCGUCUCGGAUUGAAUGUGGGAGGAUAAUUCCAAAAUAUAUCUGUUUGUAAUAUAGACUUAAAAUAAUGAGCUGGAUGUAAUAUUGUAGUUUUUUUUUUUUUUUUUUUUUUCCUUUUUCCAGUCCAUGUGGCUUCGGGAGAUGAAGUCAGAGAAGCUGUAACCGACUCGUGAGUAUGCUGGGUCUGAACUGAUACUUUGCAGGAAAAACGGCAAACACCUGACUGAGAUCUGAUCGGUGGAACGAUUGUGCCCCCGAUGCCGAACAAACACUGCAAUGCACUUAAAUGUUUGUCCUAAUUUUCUGAAGUCUGGCAGCAGCAUUAAUCUUGAUCUUAACAGUAUGAAUCAGGAGAUGCAAUGUGAAAAAAUGCCACCAUUUUUGUCUGUUUAUUAAAGACUUUUUUUUUUUUACCCUUGAAUGCCGACGUCUUUACUGAAAACUGAAUUUGUUGUUUGAAGUUAGCCGUUGCAUUUGAAGUUAAUGUUCUAAUAACUUCUUUGCCAUUUUGAUUUUAAGUCUUAUGUGCACCAUCUUAUGCUGCAUUGCUGGCCAGGACUCUGCUGAAAAAGAUUUUGAAUGGGAAUACAUUACAUUAGUCAUUUAGCAGACGCUUUUAUCCAAAGCUACUUACAAUAAGUGUAUUCAACAUUGGUUUUCGCGAGAACUACUGGUCACCAGAAGUCAUAAGUGCAUCUCCUUUCCUCAAACAAGCAUCUAAGAGCAUAAACCAGAGCCA
Anarrhichthys ocellatus (wolf-eel) is the source of this 1217-nucleotide long non-coding RNA. RefSeq lists it as uncharacterized. The transcript has 3 exons. The record is from RefSeq and is a predicted model, not a curated record. NCBI's taxonomy places the organism in Eukaryota, Metazoa, Chordata, Actinopteri, Perciformes, Anarhichadidae.